This 288-nucleotide long non-coding RNA is filed under the name Hordeum vulgare. Its description in RNAcentral is "long non-coding RNA (HVUL_LNC007377)". The record is from RNAcentral. Lineage: Eukaryota; Viridiplantae; Streptophyta; Magnoliopsida; Poales; Poaceae.
AAAUGUUGACCAAGGAUUCAAAAAUAGGGCAUGAUAUUAGAUGGCUCUGGAAUUUGGACUCACUCCAAUUGGAGUUGAUUUGAAUGCUGAUGGAAUUUUUGAAACAUGGGAUAGGAGCAUUUAAAUCUAUAUUUGAAUAGUAAUGCAACAAAAUAGUUGUCUGGAAAAAUGAGCAAGGCACAUAUUAGGAUAGCCCUGAAUUUUAGGAACCUGCAGGAGUUUGAAUCAAACAAAUUGGAGUUAAUAUGAAUUUACUAAGGAUUUAUGACUCUUAUCAGAAAAAUAAAA